RNA transcript from Pipistrellus kuhlii (Kuhl's pipistrelle), 4265 nucleotides. It is a transcript of the gene named anaphase promoting complex subunit 7, with no coding region annotated. Lineage: Eukaryota; Metazoa; Chordata; Mammalia; Chiroptera; Vespertilionidae. The transcript is spliced from 13 exons. The record is from RefSeq and is a predicted model, not a curated record.
GACCCGAAGGACCCACGCGCGGCCGCCAUCUUCGAGUCUCCUCUCAGGCUCUCCGACCGGCUUUUCGCGCCAACGCCCUGGCUCCCCGCGGCCUCGCCACCGGGCAGGAUGAAUGUGAUAGACCACGUGCGGGACAUGGCGGCCGCGGGGCUGCACUCCAACGUGCGGCUCCUCAGCAGCCUGUUGCUCACCAUGAGCACUAACAACCCUGAGUUAUUCUCCCCAUCUCAGAAGUACCAGCUUUUGGUGUAUCAUGCAGAUUCGCUCUUUCAUGAUAAGGAAUAUCGUAAUGCUGUAAGCAAGUAUACCAUGGCUUUACAGCAGAAGAAAGCCUUAAGUAAAACUUCAAAAGUGCGACCUUCAACUGGCAAUUCUACAUCCACUCCACAGAGUCAGUGUCUUCCAUCUGAAAUUGAAGUGAAAUACAAAAUGGCUGAAUGUUACACAAUGCUAAAACAAGAUAAAGAUGCCAUUGCUAUCCUUGAUGGGAUCCCUUCAAGACAAAGAACUCCCAAAAUAAACAUGAUGCUGGCAAACUUGUAUAAGAAGGCUGGUCAGGAGCGCCCUUCAGUCACCAGCUAUAAGGAAGUGCUGAGACAGUGCCCAUUAGCCCUCGAUGCCAUUCUAGGUUUGCUGUCCCUAUCUGUAAAAGGUGCAGAGGUGGCAUCAAUGACAAUGAAUGUCAUCCAGACCGUGCCUAACUUGGACUGGCUCUCUGUGUGGAUCAAAGCAUAUGCUUUUGUGCAUACUGGUGACAACUCAAGAGCAAUCAAUACCAUCUGUUCACUAGAGAAAAAGUCGUUGUUACGAGAUAAUGUGGAUCUACUGGGAAGCUUAGCUGAUCUAUACUUCAGAGCUGGAGACAAUAAGAACUCUGUCCUCAAAUUUGAACAAGCACAGAUGUUGGAUCCUUAUCUAAUAAAAGGAAUGGAUGUGUAUGGCUACCUCCUGGCGCGAGAAGGGCGGCUGGAGGAUGUGGAGAAUCUUGGCUGCCGACUCUUCAAUAUUUCUGAUCAGCAUGCGGAACCCUGGGUGGUCUCGGGGUGUCAUAGCUUCUAUAGCAAACGCUACUCCCGGGCCCUCUAUUUAGGAGCAAAGGCCAUUCAGCUGAACAGUAAUAGUGUUCAAGCUUUGCUGCUGAAGGGAGCAGCACUCAGGAACAUGGGCCGAGUCCAAGAAGCAAUAAUUCACUUUCGGGAGGCCAUACGGCUUGCACCUUGUCGCUUAGACUGUUACGAAGGUCUCAUUGAAUGUUACUUAGCCUCAAACAGUAUUCGUGAAGCAAUGGUGAUGGCUAACAACGUUUACAAAACUCUAGGAGCGAAUGCACAAACCCUUACCCUUCUAGCUACUGUUUGUCUCGAAGACCCAGUGACACAGGAAAAAGCCAAAACUUUGUUAGAUAAAGCCCUGAACCAAAGGCCGGAUUACAUUAAGGCUGUGGUGAAAAAAGCAGAACUGCUUAGCAGAGAGCAGAAAUACGAAGAUGGAAUUGCUUUGCUGAGGAACGCACUAGCUAACCAGAGUGACUGCGUCCUGCAUCGGAUCCUAGGAGAUUUCCUUGUAGCUGUCAAUGAGUAUCAGGAAGCAAUGGACCAGUAUAGUAUAGCACUAAGGAUCCCAUCCAGUCUAGUGUUACAUCCAGUCACUGCGUGUCCUUAGGCUCUGCUUGGCUGCAUUUUCUCUUGUCUGAUGGCCACAGUUCUCCAGAACAGUGCUAGCAGAGGCAAUGGUGGAUGAACAAGCUGCUGGAGUGGUGCCCCAGGAAUGGGAUGGAUGUGUGAGAUUGUCAUCUUCUGGGCAAAGCUGUAUCUGAAACGCCAGGUGAGCAUGGAGUGGCAAAAAGCAGAACACUAAUGGGAUGGGCCGCAGGCCACAGGGAAAGUGUUUCAGGCAGGAACUGCCUGGCAACACCACCUGCAUGGUGGGUCUAAGGAGGAUGCUGCCCCAUCCAAUUACUGAUGGCGGCAAAAACAGUGUCUUCCUGUUCGGUGAAGAGGGGACUGGGUGGCUGCCACUCACUGCAAGAUUGAGACCUGAAGCCAUGGAUGUGCCCACAGCAACACAAUUGCUGAGGAGGCCCGAUUUGGAGCAAACACAGGGACUCGGCUGUCUGGGUUGAAGGAAGUGGGUGCCCAAACUACCUUUGUGGGCGGGAAGGGCCUGAAGCUCAGAAACCACCAGGACCCACCAGCUCAGGGCCAUCUGGGGCUGUGCGUGUCUCCUACAGCAGCCCACAGCACUCGGCUCACUUUGUAAAGGCCACUAAAUCAAGGAACUGAGUCAGUGAAAGUUGACUGGUUAGUUUGGUUUCCAUUGAAUAACACACCACCCAAUAAGCUCAGACAUCCUGUUUUGGUUUGUAGCCAAGACACACUCCUGGCAUUUGAUCCCACUUGGCCCCUUUCUUUUUAUCACUCAUGAUGCUAAAAUGGGUAAAACUACCCCCCUACAUUAUUUGCCAAGCAAACCAACCUCCCUUCUCGGCAUUCAGUCAGUCUCCACAUCCACCUCCUCACACACAGACCUCUGGAUUUGGCAGCAGCACCCCCUUGUCCUGCCUGAUACUUAACUUUUCCCCGAAACGGCCAGCACUACAUCUUCUGGUCUAGCAACCAGGGCCCAAACACCUUCACAAGAACACUCAGGGCCUCACAGGGAGGAAGCUGCCAAUCCACUGAACACAAGGUGCUUCCUAGGCCUCCUUCACCUGCUAACAAGGCUGGUGGGCUGCUGGCCAAGCAGAGCCCUACCCUACUAACGCCUAAAUGUACCCUGCAGAGAGAAGACAAGUCUCAGCUGCAAAGGAUGGGACCCAGAAGAGGAGGAAAAGUGGUCUAUUUAAGAGGAACCUACGGAUACGUGAGUUCACCGAUUCAGUUACUUGCUUUUACUAGCUUUUGCUUUUUAAUGAACCAAGGUUCUGGGAUGAGUCCUUGCAGCUAACAAAGAUCAAAAGAAUCACAAUUUUUUGUGAACCUUAGCACUAGCAAAGGCACAGCUCCCUCACAAAGGCUCAGUCUCACAAAAUCAGAAUGGGUUUCUAUUCCUCCAGACCCUCCCCAAUGAACAUCUGGCUAUGCCACUUUCCGAGACAGCUGGCACAGGUAACACAUAUAUGCCCCCUGCUCUCAGGGACAGCCACAGAGCACAGCAAUGCCUGACACAUGGGGCUUGUUCACUAGUGUCACACAGCUAGCUCAAUUGGUAGCAGUCACCCUCAGGUUAAAGCAUCUACAUUUCAGGGAAUACUCACAUUAGUUGAUGGAUGUUGGAAGGCAUUGGAGGAAAACACCACAGUUAGGACUGUUAAUGACUUAUACACUGUUGGUAAGACUGAUCUGGAACAUGCAUCAUAGUAUGGUGGUGGUGGUUAGUGCCACAUUCAAAUAAAAAUAGUUCUAUACAAUAUGUUCAUUUGGUCAUGUGCUAUUUACAGAUUUUACAAAACACAUACACGCACAUAUACAUACACACAUUUGCUUUUAUGUUCUCUACAUCAGGCCAGCAGAAACUUGCAUAAAAUGUGUCACAGAAGACAGUGCCUAUACAUUAAAAAAUAAAAUUCUUACAACUACCUCUGCAGCAGAACAGGAUCCUUCUUCCCUGGGAGUACAGUAAAACUAAAGGUCUGAGCUAAGAACUUAAGAGAAAGUUGAUAGUUCAAGCUAGGCCACUUAGGAGUUAAAAACAAGGCAGAUAUUUUUCUGUCCACUUAAAAUGUUUUAUUUUUUAAACUAGAUUGUGAAGUGCCACUGAAAUAGGCAAUGUUGGCAAAACAAUGUCUGUUACAAUAAAAUACACUAGACAUUUAAAUAAAUAACCUUAAAAACUAUCUGAGGGGACAUGAACCCAAUCGAAUCUGGAACAAUGUUUUCUGCACAAGCGAGAACAGGCAUACCUCUUAUUAAGACUGAUGUAAACAGAACCAUCGAAAUCCUACGGAGAAGCAGCCGAGCAGUGUGGGGACCAGGGCCAAGAGUGGGGAGGGGUGGAGGUGAACCAAGAGGGGUGAGGGAGUGGCAAACCAAAAAAUACUGACUGAGGUAGCAGUACUCUGCCCAGUGCAGAAAAAUUGGCUUAUGAAUAAAAAUUAGACUGUGAUCUUAGAUUAAAUCCAGAUGAUCAUGCAAAAGACACAAUACAUGCUAUAUCAUUUUAGAAAAAAACCACACACAUUCAUUUCCUAAAAUCUGCUGCCAAUUAAUUUGCUGACAAUGUCUGCUGGCUCAACAUUUUUUUUUUAUACAAGGAUGAGUAUUAAA